CAGCAGACACAUUCCAGCCAAUCAGCAGCAGACCCUCCCUCCCAGACCCUCCCACCUCCUGGACAGCUCACUAAGAAUGCAGCUUCACAAUGAAUGUAAAAUGGAUGCUGUUCAGGAGGUGGGAGGGUCUGGGUGGGAGGGUCUGCUGCUGAUUGGCUGGAAUGUGUCUGCUG
Molecule: microRNA precursor, 173 nt
Filed under: Pelobates cultripes (western spadefoot toad)
Lineage: Eukaryota; Metazoa; Chordata; Amphibia; Anura; Pelobatidae
Source: RNAcentral